RNAcentral lists this long non-coding RNA (617 nucleotides) under Mus spicilegus (steppe mouse). RNAcentral describes it as "lncRNA (ENSMSIG00000027926.1)". Lineage: Eukaryota; Metazoa; Chordata; Mammalia; Rodentia; Muridae. The record is from RNAcentral.
GCUCAUCCAGUGUCGCGUCUGCUCUCGACCAGCAAGAACGACAUGACACAGUCGGAUUCUUCUCAACAGCCUUUAUUGCAGGAACGCCUCGAUCCUUCUACGGGGACCCCCGGCGCCCAGGGAGCCCUGCUUAUAUGCACCCCAGCACAGGAGAAGGCUCCGUGACCCCCUGGGAUUGGUCAGUCUGCCGGCACCCGCUCGGGAGGGGUUGGCGCCAAAUUCGAAUUGACGCCUGCGCAGUGGUGUUUAUGACAACGGCAACCGGAAACCGGCGCAGUCUUGGAGUUGGCUUUCCACAAUCCAGAUUUGUGUUCAAAUGCCUACUGUGUGCUCACCCAGGAAGAGCACUUAACGAAACACAUCCUCUUAUCCCAGUGGGACAACAUAAGGCGAGAUCUCCCCUCCCCCAACACGCUUUGGACACCUCUCUCUGCCAGGCAGAACUACACACUGCUCCGAUUCUCCUGCGGAUCAAAGGCAUCUCUUGCCACACUCCUGAUCAUCAGUGGUGGCAUCCGAGCACUGGAGGGAAGAUAACCCAAAGCCAUGGAGACAGGGUUCCCUCGACUUCCCUGGACGUUGGGGGCUUGCUGCACACUGCUGGUUCUCACAACUGA